UGGUGGAGCGAUUUGUCUGGUUAAUUCCGAUAACGAACGAGACUCAGGCCUAUUAAAUAGUUCGCCGAUUCCGAUCUGUCGGCGUUAACUUCUUAGAGGGACAAGUGGCUUUUAGCCACGCGAGAUUGAGCAAUAACA
This 138-nucleotide ribosomal RNA is filed under the name uncultured eukaryote. Its description in RNAcentral is "partial 18S ribosomal RNA". It matches the Rfam family "Eukaryotic small subunit ribosomal RNA", at positions 1299 to 1458 of the family's 1831-position model. The record is from RNAcentral.